Long non-coding RNA from Rosa rugosa (rugosa rose), 1599 nucleotides. RefSeq lists it as uncharacterized. The record is from RefSeq and is a predicted model, not a curated record. NCBI's taxonomy places the organism in Eukaryota, Viridiplantae, Streptophyta, Magnoliopsida, Rosales, Rosaceae. The transcript is spliced from 8 exons.
UUCUUUUCACUUGCAGAGAGCCGAUCCAGAUUAAGCACAACACAUUCUGUACUUAAAUGUUGUACAACUCCUUACAGCAGUUACUGAAGAAGAAAUUACUAUGCUACGGCAAGCUAGCUAAUUCAGAAACUUCCAAUUUAUGAUGUCAAGACUUAUAAGCCACUGUUAGCGUGAGAUGGUACAUUGUUUCCCAAAUCCCCUAAACGAAGUUUGGAAAGGGAAUUGAAUUCAUUCGUGAGGGCUGCUGCCCUUUUUCAAGCACAGCUUUUGGUCAACUUAGGUCCUCGACUAUAAAACAGAUGCAAAUGGAGUAAAGGACCAAAUUGGUCCUCCAUAGCCACAAGACCUUGCAUUCUCAAGCAUCAAAAUUCUCAUUCUGUUGUCCCAGUGAGACUUCUGUCAAAUUAUAUUCCAAAUUCAAAGAGGUAAUAGUAAAAUGUUCAAAGGUUGGAACCCAUUGCAGCAAGCUAAACUUAAGGGAGGGACUAAGAGAUCGAGAUUUGUGGUGUUAUGUUGCAUACUGGAGUUUGACGCUGGAUCUUUUUUCAGCCAUUGAUCACUGACAGCUGCCAGUUGAGACCAGGGGCGGAUCUACACUAUAAGUGGGGCGGGCUACAGCUCGUCUGAGAUUUUUGGGCUUCAAAAAAAAAUUAGAUGUAUACUUUUUUUUUUUUUAGUUGUGUAUUGUCCAGCCCAAGCCCGUCGUAAUUGAGUAAUUCCUAAACCCACUCCAGUUCACUCGACUAGUCGACUUCGAGUCUUCGACUACGCUCCAGCCUCCAGUUCAUCUAAUUGUCUCUCCUCGGCUCCUCCAGUCCUCCUCCUCCUCUAAACUUUUGCAGCUCUGGCAUUCUCGGCUUCUCCACUUCUCUCAGAGAUCAAGACACCAACAUCAAUUUGGGGCAAUGAUUCAAUGUUGUAUUGGAUUGAAGAUUUCGUGGAUUGAAGAAUGAAGGUUGCGGACUUGCGGUCAAUUUCUCUUGGUCUGGAAAUCUGGUUGGAUAUGAUAAGUGAAUGACACUUGAUUCUAUGAGGUGGAACUACGAACUGGAACACAAAGGGAUGAAGUGAAUGGCAAAAGCUUGAGUCUACUGCUUUCCGAGAAAUCCAGCCCGUCCAAGGUUUCAAUCCUGGAUCCGCCCCUGGUUGAGACUUGAGAGUAUUGGCAGGUAAUGAGGUAAUUCACAUGCUAGACGGCAAUGCUAAGGCUGCAUGUUGACUGUGGUGAGAUUUUAGAAGCUUAAAGUGAGAUUUCUCCGAACGAAGUUGAGAAAACGCAGGAGGCUUUAGUAUUGAUCAUGAUUGAGCAAACUUAUUUUGUAGAUGCAGUCUCUUGAUUGUGACUUUGGGUGAUUUCCGGUCCUGUGCUUAAAAGGAGACAGUAAAGAGAUUAUUUGGUAGUGUAUGUGAGAAAGAAUUUGUUUCUUAUCAUUGUAGUUUUUUCUCAUGAAACCUCGGACAACUUCCAAAAGCCCUUCACAGCUAGCUAGCUGCCAUGACAAUUGGAAGCUUCGUGGUAUUUUCACUUAUCGAUUGUGCCUAGAUCUAUUAAUUUGAAGGGUGAGAUGUGGUAAGAAAGAUCAUCAUCCGUUAUCUAUU